GAUGAACGCUGGCGGCGUGCCUAAUACAUGCAAGUCGAGCGAACAGACGAGGAGCUUGCUCCUCUGACGUUAGCGGCGGACGGGUGAGUAACACGUGGAUAACCUACCUAUAAGACUGGGAUAACUUCGGGAAACCGGAGCUAAUACCGGAUAAUAUAUUGAACCGCAUGGUUCAAUAGUGAAAGACGGUUUUGCUGUCACUUAUAGAUGGAUCCGCGCCGCAUUAGCUAGUUGGUAAGGUAACGGCUUACCAAGGCAACGAUGCGUAGCCGACCUGAGAGGGUGAUCGGCCACACUGGAACUGAGACACGGUCCAGACUCCUACGGGAGGCAGCAGUAGGGAAUCUUCCGCAAUGGGCGAAAGCUUGACGGAGCAACGCCGCGUGAGUGAUGAAGGUCUUCGGAUCGUAAAACUCGGUUAUGAGGGAAGAACAAAUGUGUAAGUAACUAUGCACGUCUUGACGGUACCUAAUCAGAAAGCCACGGCUAACUACGUG
RNAcentral lists this ribosomal RNA (497 nucleotides) under uncultured bacterium. RNAcentral's name for it is "partial 16S ribosomal RNA". It matches the Rfam family "Bacterial small subunit ribosomal RNA", at positions 28 to 507 of the family's 1533-position model. The record is from RNAcentral.